AUGGUUGUUGUGGUUGCCAGGAAAAUGGUUGUUGGGGCUGUGGAAAAGGUUGUUGUGGUUGUUGGGGUUGCUGGGGGAAUGGUUGUUGUGGUUGUAAGGGGGUCGGUUGUUGUGGUUGUUGGGGUUGCUGGGGGAAUGGUUGUUGUGGUUGUAAGGGGGUCGGUUGUUGGGGUUGGGGAUAUAAUUGUUGUGAUUGCUGGAGAAAUUGUUGUUGGGGUGUGGAAAAUGGUUGUUGUGAUGGAUAUGGUUGCUAUGAUGGAUAUGGUUGUUGUGGAUAUGGCUGUUGUGGAAAUGGUUGUUGUUGAUGGGAAAAUGAUUGUUGAGGUGAUUGUAACUCUUUGUUGCUAG
RNAcentral lists this ribosomal RNA (348 nucleotides) under Triticum aestivum (bread wheat). Its description in RNAcentral is "partial small subunit ribosomal RNA". Lineage: Eukaryota; Viridiplantae; Streptophyta; Magnoliopsida; Poales; Poaceae. The record is from RNAcentral.